AGCCCCGGGCGGAGGGCCUUCUUCAGAUUUGCAGUCUGACGUGAAACACCACGGGGCCUG
RNAcentral lists this transfer RNA (60 nucleotides) under Cylindrophis ruffus (red-tailed pipe snake). Its description in RNAcentral is "tRNA-Cys". The record is from RNAcentral. Lineage: Eukaryota; Metazoa; Chordata; Lepidosauria; Squamata; Cylindrophiidae.